CAUGUCUUUUUGAGAAUUUAUUUAAAGUCUAACCUGCCCAAUGAUUAAUUAUUUAAUGGCCGCGGUAUUUUGACCGUGCAAAGGUAGCAUAAUCAUUAGUUUUUUAAUUGAAAGCUGGAAUGAAAGGUUGAAUGAGAAAAUAACUGUCUUUGUUAUAUUUUAUUAGAAUUUUAUCUUUAAGUGAAAAAGCUUAAAUUAUAUUUAUAGACGAGAAGACCCUUUAGAGUUUUAUAAAAAUAUUUUUUAAAUUUUUUAGUAUUUAUUUUAUUUAAUAAAGAUUUUUAUUUAGUUGGGGUGAUUGAAAAACUAAAUAAACUUUUUUUUUUAUUCAACAUUAAUUUAUGAAUUUUUGAUCCAUUAAUUAUGAUUAUAAGAAAAAAUUACCUAAGGGAUAACAGCGUUAUUUUUUUUGAGAGUUCUAAUCGAAAAAAAAGAUUGCGACCUCGAUGUUGGAUUAAAAUUAAAUUAUGGUGUAGAGGCUAUAACUAGA
This 490-nucleotide ribosomal RNA is filed under the name Genistogethes erichsonii. RNAcentral describes it as "partial 16S ribosomal RNA". The record is from RNAcentral. Lineage: Eukaryota; Metazoa; Arthropoda; Insecta; Coleoptera; Nitidulidae.